CCUACGGGUGGCAGCAGUGAGGAAUAUUGGUCAAUGGACGCAAGUCUGAACCAGCCAUGCCGCGUGCAGGAAGACGGCUCUAUGAGUUGUAAACUGCUUUUGUACGGGGGUAAACGCAGGUACGCUUAUCUGUCUGCAAGUAUCGUACGAAUAAGGAUCGGCUAACUCCGUGCCAGCAGCCGCGGUAAUACGGAGGAUUCAAGCGUUAUCCGGAUUUAUUGGGUUUAAAGGGUGCGUAGGCGGUCGGAUAAGUUAGCGGUGAAAUCCCGAGGAUCAACUUCGGAAUUGCCUCUGAUACUGGUGGGCUAGAGAGUAGUUGCGGUAGGCGGAAUGUAUGGUGUAGCGGUGAAAUGCUUAGAGAUCAUACAGAACACCGAUUGCGAAGGCAGCUUACCAAGCUACGUCUGACGUUGAGGCACGAAAGCGUGGGGAGCAAACAGGAUUAGAUACCCGAGUAGUC
RNAcentral lists this ribosomal RNA (460 nucleotides) under uncultured bacterium. RNAcentral describes it as "partial 16S ribosomal RNA". It matches the Rfam family "Bacterial small subunit ribosomal RNA", at positions 338 to 795 of the family's 1533-position model. The record is from RNAcentral.